Poecilia reticulata (guppy) is the source of this 666-nucleotide long non-coding RNA. RefSeq lists it as uncharacterized. The record is from RefSeq and is a predicted model, not a curated record. NCBI's taxonomy places the organism in Eukaryota, Metazoa, Chordata, Actinopteri, Cyprinodontiformes, Poeciliidae.
UUUUUAAAGCUGUUUUUUGGUUGAACUCGUUUUCUUGCUUAUAACUUUAUUUGCUUUGGCGAAGCUUACAUGAACAUCCGGGGCGGGGCUUAAGGACGAGCAACGUGUUCUGAUUGGUUAUCGCUGACUAAAGCGGAUGACUCUGUGUCCGGAGCUGCAGGGCUCCGGUGGCGGGACACAGAAUGUGAAGUCUGACCAGCAGUGUGCAGCUGAAGCAGGACAGGCUUGUAGGUCUGACUGAUUCCUGAUGAUCAGAACAUGAGGAUGGAGAGACCAGCAAGUGUUGAGUCAGCAGCUCAGCUGGACUGGAGUUCUGCUUGGUUUGAGCUAAAGCGGCUAACAGCGCAACAUUUUCCCUCUCCCACUAUAAACUUUGCUUUUCUUCAACAUGGACAAAACUCCUACAUCAGCAGCUGUUUGUUAUUUUGACAUCAGUGGUGGUCAGUUGAUCCUCUUAACCACUGAAUGGAUCAGAACCACCUGGACUGAGCUGGUUUCGUCAGAGGGAGCCAGGAYGUCUCCAUCAAAUGGCUUCCCGUAUUUAAAAUAGCAUCUUUCUGAUGCUAUGACUGCAUUCUCAUAAUUAAAAAUACUCGUGACCUGGCCAUAACACUCCAUUAUACAACUCACAAAGGAUGAUAGAAAUAAAGCCACUUUGUGAAAGUA